UGCGGAUAAACGAACCUCGUCUACGAAGUUACAACAACACUGGUUACGAUGGCAAUUUCGAUGACAUUCGACAUGAACACAACAUCAAUACACUACGUGAUGAUUAUGGAGCACAUGGACCGGAAGUGAAAAGAAAAGACGAAGAACAUGGUACAAACUGGAAAAAAGUUGCUUUGAUUUCGACCACCUUACUUGUUAUUCUGGUGAUAGCGGGUGCUGCUGUGGGAAUAUUCUAUGCUCUUAGAAAUACUUCAGACAGUGGCAGUACGUCACCUAUCGAGAGACCAGAAGUGUCAACCUCAUCAAAUUCCGCGUCAACGACACGUACAUUACCCUCGCCAACUUCAACAAGAAGGACAACAUCUUCAACUACACCUACUUCGGCAACGCUUAGAUCUUCCUCAAUAUCAGUAAGCCAUUCCCCGACAACUUCAGAAACAACUGAAACAACAAAAUCAACAUCAAGCAGAACAUCCUUCUCAACAUUGAGUCCUCCGCCCGAAACAUCGAUACAAACAAGUUCAACAACUUCAAGUUCAACAUCGACACCCAA
Ruditapes philippinarum (Manila clam) is the source of this 553-nucleotide long non-coding RNA. RefSeq lists it as uncharacterized. The transcript is spliced from 3 exons. The record is from RefSeq and is a predicted model, not a curated record. NCBI's taxonomy places the organism in Eukaryota, Metazoa, Mollusca, Bivalvia, Venerida, Veneridae.